RNAcentral lists this ribosomal RNA (425 nucleotides) under uncultured bacterium. Its description in RNAcentral is "partial 16S ribosomal RNA". It matches the Rfam family "Bacterial small subunit ribosomal RNA", at positions 354 to 796 of the family's 1533-position model. The record is from RNAcentral.
GUGGGGAAUCUUGCGCAAUGGGCGAAAGCCUGACGCAGCCAUGCCGCGUGAAUGAUGAAGGUCUUAGGAUUGUAAAAUUCUUUCACCGGGGACGAUAAUGACGGUACCCGGAGAAGAAGCUCCGGCUAACUUCGUACCAGCAGCCGCGGUAAUACGAAGGGGGCUAGCGUUGCUCGGAAUUACUGGGCGUAAAGGGCGCGUAGGCGGACAGCUUAGUCAGAGGUGAAAGCCCAGGGCUCAACCUUGGAAUUGCCUUUGAUACUGGCUGUCUUGAGUUUGGGAGAGGUGAGUGGAACUCCGAGUGUAGAGGUGAAAUUCGUAGAUAUUCGGAAGAACACCAGUGGCGAAGGCGACUCACUGGCCCAAUACUGACGCUGAGGCGCGAAAGCGUGGGGAGCAAACAGGAUUAGAUACCCGGGUAGUCC